Molecule: ribosomal RNA, 282 nt
Filed under: uncultured bacterium
Lineage: Bacteria
Description: partial 16S ribosomal RNA
Rfam family: Bacterial small subunit ribosomal RNA
Source: RNAcentral
AGCGAACGCUGGCGGCAGGCUUAACACAUGCAAGUCGAGCGCCUGUAGCAAUACAGGAGCGGCAGACGGGAGAGUAACACGUGGGAACGUACCCUUUGGUUCGGAACAACCCAGGGAAACUUGGGCGUAAUACCGGAUAAGCCCUUACGGGGAAAGGAUUAUCGCCGAAGGAUCGGCCCGCGUCCGAUUAGCUAGUUGGUGGGGUAAGUGGCCCACCAACGGCGACGAUCGGUAGCUGGUCUGAGAGGAUGAUCAGCCUCACUGGGACUGAGACACGGCCCA